Molecule: non-coding RNA, 94 nt
Organism: Acanthosepion pharaonis
Lineage: Eukaryota; Metazoa; Mollusca; Cephalopoda; Sepiida; Sepiidae
Source: the annotation of a GenBank genome assembly
AUCACCAGUUCUCGACAGAUCUCCGAAAUUAAACAACGUUGAACAGGGUCAGUAUCAAGAUAGGCGACCGCUUGGGAAUAUCAGGUGCUGUAAG